RNAcentral lists this ribosomal RNA (249 nucleotides) under uncultured bacterium. RNAcentral describes it as "partial 16S ribosomal RNA". It matches the Rfam family "Bacterial small subunit ribosomal RNA", at positions 528 to 776 of the family's 1533-position model. The record is from RNAcentral.
GAGGUCCCGAGCGUUGUUCGGAUUCACUGGGCGUAAAGGGUGCGUAGGUGGUGGGCUAAGUCGGAUGUGAAAUCUCGGAGCUUAACUCCGAAACUGCAUUGGAAACUGUCCUGCUAGAGGGUUGGAGGGGGGACUGGAAUACUUGGUGUAGCAGUGAAAUGCGUAGAUAUCAAGUGGAACACCGGUGGCGAAGGCGAGUCCCUGGACAACACCUGACACUGAGGCACGAAAGCUAGGGGAGCAAACAGG